Molecule: ribosomal RNA, 293 nt
Filed under: uncultured eukaryote
Lineage: Eukaryota
Description: partial 18S ribosomal RNA
Rfam family: Eukaryotic small subunit ribosomal RNA
Source: RNAcentral
GGUUGAUCCUGCCAGUAGUCAUAUGCUUGUCUCAAAGAUUAAGCCAUGCAUGUGCAAGUAUAAGCUUUUAUACGGCGAAACUGCGAAUGGCUCAUUAAAACAGUUAUAAUCUACUCGAUGGUGAACUAUUAAAUGGAUAACCGUGGUAAUUCUAGAGCUAAUACAUGCGUCAACACUCGACUUCUUGGGAGAGUGGUAUUUAUUAGAUAAAGAACCAAGUCACAGCAAUGUGAAAGUUGGUGAUUCAUAAUAACUGAACGAAUCGUCUGGAUUUCCAGCGAUAGAUCAUUCGA